GGGUGUAAAGAGAUAUUAUUGAUGGCUUUGUAGGCGAUGUCACAGGCGUGGAUAUUAAAAGUUUUGUCGACACUGGAAGAUUAAGUUCGGAUUCACGUAUAGUACAGGCAUAUAAUCAGUCUCUCUCCGAAGAGUUCAUGAAUCUCAUACGAAAUCGAAUGGUAGUACACCUAGAUGAAGACUAUCUAGAUAAGAAUUCUAUAAAUUAUGGCCAACACAUAGAAAUAUUACGAGGC
This 236-nucleotide long non-coding RNA is filed under the name Mytilus galloprovincialis (Mediterranean mussel). The record is from RNAcentral. Lineage: Eukaryota; Metazoa; Mollusca; Bivalvia; Mytilida; Mytilidae.